Molecule: ribosomal RNA, 497 nt
Filed under: uncultured bacterium
Lineage: Bacteria
Description: partial 16S ribosomal RNA
Rfam family: Bacterial small subunit ribosomal RNA
Source: RNAcentral
GAUGAACGCUGGCGGCGUGCCUAAUACAUGCAAGUCGAGCGAACGGACGAGAAGCUUGCUUCUCUGAUGUUAGCGGCGGACGGGUGAGUAACACGUGGAUAACCUACCUAUAAGACUGGGAUAACUUCGGGAAACCGGAGCUAAUACCGGAUGAUAUUUUGAACCGCAUGGUUCAAAAGUGAAAGACGGUCUUGCAGUCACUUAUAGAUGGAUCCGCGCUGCAUUAGCUAGUUGGUAAGGUAACGGCUUACCAAGGCAACGAUGCAUAGCCGACCUGAGAGGGUGAUCGCCACCCUUGGAACGGAGACCGGGUCCAGACUCCAAGGGGGGGAAGCAUGAGGGAUUCUUCCUCAAGGGGGGAAGGCCGAACGGCGCAACGCCGGGUAAGUAUUAAAGUUUUUGGAAUCGAAAAACUCUUUUAUUGGAAAAAACCAUAUGUUAAAGUAACUGUGCACACCUGCGGGUACCCUAAUAAGAAGCCCAGGCCAAGCUCGGUC